RNAcentral lists this ribosomal RNA (286 nucleotides) under uncultured Arcanobacterium sp. RNAcentral describes it as "partial 16S ribosomal RNA". It matches the Rfam family "Bacterial small subunit ribosomal RNA", at positions 72 to 356 of the family's 1533-position model. Lineage: Bacteria; Bacillati; Actinomycetota; Actinomycetes; Actinomycetales; Actinomycetaceae. The record is from RNAcentral.
CCUCAAGCUUGCUUGGGGUACUCGAGUGGCGAACGGGUGAGUAAUACGUGGGUAACCUGCCCUCUUCUUUGGGAUAAGCCCCGGAAACGGGGUCUAAUACCGGAUAUUCUGCUUCUGCCGCAUGGUGGGGGCUGGAAAGGUUUUUCGGUGGGGGAUGGGCCCGCGGCCUAUCAGCUUGUUGGUGGGGUGAUGGCCUACCAAGGCUUCGACGGGUAGCCGGCCUGAGAGGGUGACCGGCCACAUUGGAACUGAGACACGGUCCAAACUCCUACGGGAGGUAGCAGCG